GUGAACGUAUGGAUGUGUGAGUGUGUGAGUGUGUGAGUGUGUUUGCAGCAGCAGAGUUCAGAUGAAGGUGGAGAUGGAGUGACAGAAGAAGAGCUGGAGGAUGGAUGGAGGAAUAAAGAGGAAGAGUGCAGGGUCAACCAUAGACCUUUUCAUCUGCCCCCUCUUGGCCUUGGGCCAAGGUCAUCUGUACCCUUUGACCCCCUCUGACAGCAGGCCUGAGUGUGCGUCCAAUCAAAACAGCACCAACCACUCAGUAGACGGUAAACACACUCAGAGAAACGGUAAGCAAAGCAGCAGAAAGUUGAGGAAACAAGGAAAGACGC
Long non-coding RNA from Epinephelus fuscoguttatus (brown-marbled grouper), 323 nucleotides. RefSeq lists it as uncharacterized. The record is from RefSeq and is a predicted model, not a curated record. Lineage: Eukaryota; Metazoa; Chordata; Actinopteri; Perciformes; Serranidae. The transcript has 3 exons.